AAUAGAUACCCGGGUAGUCCACGCCGUAAACGAUGAGUGCUAAGUGUUAGAGGGUUUCCGCCCUUUAGUGCUGCAGCUAACGCAUUAAGCACUCCGCCUGGGGAGUACGGUCGCAAGACUGAAACUCAAAGGAAUUGACGGGGGCCCGCACAAGCGGUGGAGCAUGUGGUUUAAUUCGAAGCAACGCGAAGAACCUUACCAGGUCUUGACAUCCUCUGACAACUCUAGAGAUAGAGCGUUCCCCUUCGGGGGACAGAGUGACAGGUGGUGCAUGGUUGUCGUCAGCUCGUGUCGUGAGAUGUUGGGUUAAGUCCCGCAACGAGCGCAACCCUUGAUCUUAGUUGCCAGCAUUCAGUUGGGCACUCUAAGGUGACUGCCGGUGACGAACCGGAGGAAGGUGGGGAUGACGUCAAAUCAUCAUGCCCCUUACUGACCUGGGCUACACACGUGCUACAAUGGAUGGUACAAAGGGCUGCAAGACCGCGAGGUCAAGCCAAUCCCAUAAACCAUUCUCAGUUCGGAUUGU
RNAcentral lists this ribosomal RNA (526 nucleotides) under uncultured bacterium. Its description in RNAcentral is "bacterial SSU rRNA". It matches the Rfam family "Bacterial small subunit ribosomal RNA", at positions 777 to 1301 of the family's 1533-position model. The record is from RNAcentral.